RNAcentral lists this ribosomal RNA (1731 nucleotides) under Triticum aestivum (bread wheat). RNAcentral's name for it is "partial small subunit ribosomal RNA". The record is from RNAcentral. Lineage: Eukaryota; Viridiplantae; Streptophyta; Magnoliopsida; Poales; Poaceae.
AUGGCACCAAUUACUGCGUGUUUGAAGAAAGGGAAGUUCCAAUGGACAGAAGCAACUGAAGCUAGUUUCAAUGAGAUUAAACAAAAGCUAUCACAAGCUCCUGUCUUGAUGCUACCUGAUUUCAACAAGACUUUUGAGUUGGAGUGUGAUGCAAGUGGAGUAGGCAUUGGAGCUGUCCUAUCUCAAGAAAGGAAGCCCAUUGCUUUCUUUAGUGAAGCUAGACAGAAAUGGAGUACCUAUCAGCAAGAAUUAUAUGCUGUUUUCAGAGUGUUGAAAAUUUGGGAAGUCUAUUUGCUGCCUAAAGAGUUCAUUGUUUAUAGCAACCAUCAAUCCUUGAAGCAUUUUAGAAAUCAAAAGCAUGUUGACCGCAUGCUAGCAAGGUGGUCUGCAUAUCUGGAGAGGUUUAACUAUCUCAUCGUGCAUAAAUCUGAAAUAACUAACAUGGUGAUUGAUGCUUUGAGUCAUCGUGCAUGCCUCUUGACUUCUUUUGAAGCUGAACUUCUGGGCAUGAAUCAAAUAAAGGAGUUGUAUGAGGGUGACGAAGACUUUGGCCAUGUUUGGGUAAAGCAUGCAAGGGGCCAACCAUUAGGUGAUGAUUAUUUGAUGCAAGAUGGAUAUCUCUUCAAAAAUGAUCGUUUGUGUAUUCCAAGAAGUUCUCUACGUGACAAGCUGGUUAGAGAGUUCCAUUCAAGUAAUCUUAGUGGUCAUGUUGGACGGGACAAGACUGUCGCUAGCUUGGAAGCUCGCUACUUUUGGCCACAACUAAAGAGAGAUUCUGGAAAGUUUGUUCAACGAUGCCCUAUAUGUCAAACCUAUAAAGGCCAAGUCCAGAACGCAGGGUUAUACAUGCCUUUGCCUGUUCCUGUCGCUCCAUGGGAGGACAUCUCUAUGGACUUCGUCUUGGGCUUGCCAAGAACAAGACGAGAGAGUGAUGCUGUGUUUGUGGUCGUGGACAGAUUCUCUAAGAUGGCUCAUUUCAUUCCAUGCCGUAAGACAACGGAUGCUCGUCAUGUGGCAAACCUAUUCUUUCGAGAAGUGGUCAGACUUCAUGGAGUUCCAAGGUCCAUCGUCUCAGAUCAUGAUAGCAAGUUUCUUGCUGCAUUUUGGCUCACUUUGUGGAAGCAAUUCAACACUGAAUUGGAAUUUUCUAGCACUGCUCAUCCACAAACACAAACGGAAGUGGUGAACAAGUUUUUGGGUAAUCUGAUCCGUUGCAUUUGUGGAGAAAGAAAGGGGCAAUGGGAUUUGGCUUUAUCUCUUGCAGAGUUCUCCUACAAUAACUCCAAGCAUAGAUCCACAGGAAGGAGCCCUUUUUCCAUUGUCUACACUAAAGUUCGAACACAUGUGAUGGACCUGGUGAAGCUGCCAUCAAGGGGAGACUCAAAAUCAGCAUUGUCCUUUGCUGAUAAUUACCCCGAGUUAUUUGAAGAGAUUCGCGGCGCUUUGGAAGCACAAAAUCAGAAAUAUAAACAACUUGCUGAUUGCAAAAAGAGGCCAAAAUCAUUCCAAGUCGGUGAUAAGGUGAUGGUCUACCUCCGAAAAGAGAGGCUGCCUUUAGGUGUUAAAGGGAAACUUAGGCAGCGAAGGUAUGGGCCCUUCUCUAUCGUGAGGAAGAUAAAUGAUAAUGCUUAUGUGAUAGAUCUUCCAAGUGACAUGGGUAUCUCCAACACUUUCAGGGCUCCUUUGAUUCAAAGGAUUUGCAUAGGAAUUCUGAAGGAUUGGAAUCCUUAG